RNAcentral lists this ribosomal RNA (1194 nucleotides) under Colletotrichum sansevieriae. Its description in RNAcentral is "bacterial SSU rRNA". The stretch from base 517 to 1194 matches the Rfam family "Eukaryotic small subunit ribosomal RNA", at positions 1118 to 1823 of the family's 1831-position model. The record is from RNAcentral. Lineage: Eukaryota; Fungi; Ascomycota; Sordariomycetes; Glomerellales; Glomerellaceae.
AAGCCGUUUCGCUCUGCCCUAGAUAGCGAGCCCGUUAUGGGUUUGGUGGUCUGCCUGCAUUAUCGCUAGUCACUCUCGAGUGGCGACACCCUCAAAUUGCGGGAAACCCUCCAAGGGCAACACUACUAAGCAGCUGCCGAAAGGCAUGCUGUGGCGGCGGAGUAACUCCCGCCGGUAUAGUAAUAACGUGUUUGCUUAUGAGGCUACUCGCAGCCAAGCCCCUACGUGCAUGCCAGGCAGCAGUUAAUGAAACUUCGGAUGAAACAUCGGACCAAACCCCGGAUGAAAUUCAAGUGAUUCACUGCUUGUGUGGUUAGAGACUGUGAUUCACAGGCCGGUUUGCCUGGUCAGUGAAUCACCGCACAGGGGGAAGGUUCAGAGACUUGACGGGGGUGGGCAGGGAUAUAAAUAAGAGCCUUCUCUCCCUCCACAGCAGCAGAAUGCGUCUGUGCGUAUAGCUGGGAGCUCGGAAUUCAACCAAUAUCUCUCGUCUAAGAUAAAGUCCAUGCCACGCGUGAAAACGCUGGAAGUGGAAAUUUGCACCUAGUUGCAGAUGCAGCACCCUAAAAAGGGAGCCUGCGGCUUAAUUUGACUCAACACGGGGAAACUCACCAGGUCCAGACACAAUGAGGAUUGACAGAUUGAGAGCUCUUUCUUGAUUUUGUGGGUGGUGGUGCAUGGCCGUUCUUAGUUGGUGGAGUGAUUUGUCUGCUUAAUUGCGAUAACGAACGAGACCUUAACCUGCUAAAUAGCCCGUAUUGCUUUGGCAGUACGCCGGCUUCUUAGAGGGACUAUCGGCUCAAGCCGAUGGAAGUUUGAGGCAAUAACAGGUCUGUGAUGCCCUUAGAUGUUCUGGGCCGCACGCGCGUUACACUGACAGAGCCAGCGAGUACUUCCUUGUCCGAAAGGGCCGGGUAAUCUUGUUAAACUCUGUCGUGCUGGGGAUAGAGCAUUGCAAUUAUUGCUCUUCAACGAGGAAUCCCUAGUAAGCGCAAGUCAUCAGCUUGCGUUGAUUACGUCCCUGCCCUUUGUACACACCGCCCGUCGCUACUACCGAUUGAAUGGCUCAGUGAGGCUUUCGGACUGGCUCAGAGAGGUGGGCAACUACCACUCAGAGCCGGAAAGUUAUCCAAACUCGGUCAUUUAGAGGAAGUAAAAGUCGUAACAAGGUCUCCGUUGGUGAACCAGCGGAGG